This is a long non-coding RNA of Sinocyclocheilus rhinocerous, 176 nucleotides long. RefSeq lists it as uncharacterized. Lineage: Eukaryota; Metazoa; Chordata; Actinopteri; Cypriniformes; Cyprinidae. The transcript has 2 exons. The record is from RefSeq and is a predicted model, not a curated record.
UGAAAAGAGGACUUUGGACCACUGAGCAACAGAGUGGCUUGACACGAGGAAUGCGACAUUUGUAGCCCAUGUCUAGGAUUCGUCUGUGCGUAGUGGCUCUUGAUGCGCUGACGCCAGCCUCAGUCCACUCCUUGUGAAGCUCCCCCAAAUUCUUGAAUGGAUUUUGCCUGACAAUC